RNAcentral lists this unclassified non-coding RNA (1392 nucleotides) under Leishmania donovani. RNAcentral's name for it is "gene:LdHU3.15.1890(CDS-product:hypothetical_prote in_conserved)". The record is from RNAcentral. Lineage: Eukaryota; Euglenozoa; Kinetoplastea; Trypanosomatida; Trypanosomatidae.
UCACCGUUGUUGGUGUCCUGAGUGGCGCCGAGGCAUUUCUAAUUGGGCGCAUUGCCUUUCCUGCGGGCGCCCUUCACACCGGGCAGCGGAGCAGAGACAACGGGAUCGGCACCAGCCAGUGUCGCAACAGAGGGGGUGCGCAUCGGCCGUUUCUUGUGUUGUGGCGUUCUUUUCCCGUUGCAUCUUUUCCCCCUUUUUUCUCGACCAUGCGCGUCUCGCCCAACUCACUGAGCGAGGCCGCCUCGCAACUGGAGCAGGAUAGAGAACGUGACUUUUUUCGGCUUCUCUACAUCGUCGACCGAGCGCGUCGGUUUCUCUCCAUCCCGGUGGGCAACGUCGAUUGGAGGCUGACGUGCGACUGCCUGGACGACAUGAAUCACCGAUAUGCAGACACCGGCUUUCUUCUCGGCUUCACGGGUGGCUAUGUGCUGCGCAACCGAGCCGGUCGCACGCUGUUGUCUCGCUUCUGGUUCUCGAUGUACUUGGGUCUUGUCUUCUAUGACUGGGAACUGCGGCGAGCCACUCGUGCGCCGGCGCUGGAGUACUGGAACUCUAUCUGCACUGUGGACACGGAGGUGGGUCGUAUCGCUCGAGUGCUGCACACCCCCGCCCGGUUUUACGAAGCGGCACCGAUGAGCACUGCAUUCAGUGGCGUGCCGCCGCCGCUGCCACGAGGGUCCUCCUCCUCUCCCUCCCCGGCUCCCCACGGAGCCUCGGUGCGCGACUGGCUCUGGCGCUACAUCUCAGAUACGAUGUCUUCGGUGCUCCUGACGACGUUAUGCUCGCAUCUCUUCGAAGGCUCCAGCUGGCGGCACCGCACGAGCGACAACGUGGAGGUGACGGCGCUUGUGAUCAACAGCCGCUUCUUUCACUGGAAGGUGUUUGAGUCAUGCCAGGUGCAGCGGAAUGAGAUGACGGAGUACAACAUUAGCUUAAAGUGGUUCCCGAGCUUUGCAGCGAGCGACAGCCUUCGCCGCUCCUUUCAAUGCCGCGAACUCAUCCUGGAGAGGUCUACGCUGGGGGGGCGGCUGUGGUACAGGACACAUUUUUCGUUGCUGCGGUGUCUGGGAUUGGACUCGCAGUAGCGUCUUCACAGAUCGCGGACGUGCAGAGCAUGCAGAGAAAGGCUGCAAGCUCACACAACUGAAAUGCUUUAUUCCAUGAGCCGCAGUCUCGUAACGAACCCCAAAACGCAUUAAGGGAAAAGGAGAAAACACCCGCGACGACGACGACGCGAAGGGUGCUUAAAGCGUUGCGUUCCAAGUGGUGGAGGCUGGCUUUCGAUGGCUAUCGGCCGAGUGCGUUUUCAAGCUGGUACGGAAGCUUCCCAUCGAUACGCAAAGUUCUCCCCCCCCCUCACUCUCACACUACCACUGCUGAGGCAUAAAAGCG